UCUGCUCGCAGUGUCUCGGCACAGAGGCGAAGAAUCCUAAAGGAGUCCCUGAAGCCCUCAGCCGCUGCUCUGGGUGUUCUGCUUCAGUCCAUCUGUCCUGUGCGUGGAAAGGAUCUGAACUAUCUAGUCUUCUCGAAAAGGGUGGCAAGUGGUUCUGUGAAGAUUGCUCGCAAUGCGCAGCAUGUUCAGAAACUGAUGUCUCUCCGUGCCUUCUUGGAUGUUGCUCUUGCGAACGGAACUUCCACAUAGCAUGCUUGGAUCCGCCUGCCGAGAAAAAACCGAAAUGCCCCUGGAGGUGCCGCCAUUGCCUUUCCCACCAUGAAACUCCAAAACGGAGUCAAACAUCGACACCUGUAUUGGGACUAAGUAGUAGUCGGAGGAAAGGAACGAAAUGUCGUGAUAAAAUGGAUUCUCGUGCAAUAAGGUAA
Long non-coding RNA from Ctenocephalides felis (cat flea), 428 nucleotides. RefSeq lists it as uncharacterized. The transcript is spliced from 3 exons. The record is from RefSeq and is a predicted model, not a curated record. Lineage: Eukaryota; Metazoa; Arthropoda; Insecta; Siphonaptera; Pulicidae.